This 495-nucleotide ribosomal RNA is filed under the name Klebsiella pneumoniae. Its description in RNAcentral is "bacterial SSU rRNA". It matches the Rfam family "Bacterial small subunit ribosomal RNA", at positions 632 to 1126 of the family's 1533-position model. Lineage: Bacteria; Pseudomonadati; Pseudomonadota; Gammaproteobacteria; Enterobacterales; Enterobacteriaceae. The record is from RNAcentral. RNAcentral also lists the same sequence under 1 other name.
ACUGGCAGGCUAGAGUCUUGUAGAGGGGGGUAGAAUUCCAGGUGUAGCGGUGAAAUGCGUAGAGAUCUGGAGGAAUACCGGUGGCGAAGGCGGCCCCCUGGACAAAGACUGACGCUCAGGUGCGAAAGCGUGGGGAGCAAACAGGAUUAGAUACCCUGGUAGUCCACGCCGUAAACGAUGUCGAUUUGGAGGUUGUGCCCUUGAGGCGUGGCUUCCGGAGCUAACGCGUUAAAUCGACCGCCUGGGGAGUACGGCCGCAAGGUUAAAACUCAAAUGAAUUGACGGGGGCCCGCACAAGCGGUGGAGCAUGUGGUUUAAUUCGAUGCAACGCGAAGAACCUUACCUGGUCUUGACAUCCACAGAACUUUCCAGAGAUGGAUUGGUGCCUUCGGGAACUGUGAGACAGGUGCUGCAUGGCUGUCGUCAGCUCGUGUUGUGAAAUGUUGGGUUAAGUCCCGCAACGAGCGCAACCCUUAUCCUUUGUUGCCAGCGGUU